UACAUGCAAGUCGAGCGGACAGAAGGGAGCUUGCUCCCGGAUGUUAGCGGCGGACGGGUGAGUAACACGUGGGUAACCUGCCUGUAAGACUGGGAUAACUCCGGGAAACCGGAGCUAAUACCGGAUAGUUCCUUGAACCGCAUGGUUCAAGGAUGAAAGACGGUUUCGGCUGUCACUUACAGAUGGACCCGCGGCGCAUUAGCUAGUUGGUGAGGUAACGGCUCACCAAGGCGACGAUGCGUAGCCGACCUGAGAGGGUGAUCGGCCACACUGGGACUGAGACACGGCCCAGACUCCUACGGGAGGCAGCAGUAGGGAAUCUUCCGCAAUGGACGAAAGUCUGACGGAGCAACGCCGCGUGAGUGAUGAAGGUUUUCGGAUCGUAAAGCUCUGUUGUUAGGGAAGAACAAGUGCAAGAGUAACUGCUUGCACCUUGACGGUACCUAACCAGAAAGCCACGGCUAACUACGUGCCAGCAGCCGCGGUAAUACGUAGGUGGCAAGCGUUGUCCGGAAUUAUUGGGCGUAAAGGGCUCGCAGGCGGUUUCUUAAGUCUGAUGUGAAAGCCCCCGGCUCAACCGGGGAGGGUCAUUGGAAACUGGGAAACUUGAGUGCAGAAGAGGAGAGUGGAAUUCCACGUGUAGCGGUGAAAUGCGUAGAGAUGUGGAGGAACACCAGUGGCGAAGGCGACUCUCUGGUCUGUAACUGACGCUGAGGAGCGAAAGCGUGGGGAGCGAACAGGAUUAGAUACCCUGGUAGUCCACGCCGUAAACGAUGAGUGCUAAGUGUUAGGGGGUUUCCGCCCCUUAGUGCUGCAGCUAACGCAUUAAGCACUCCGCCUGGGGAGUACGGUCGCAAGACUGAAACUCAAAGGAAUUGACGGGGGCCCGCACAAGCGGUGGAGCAUGUGGUUUAAUUCGAAGCAACGCGAAGAACCUUACCAGGUCUUGACAUCCUCUGACAACCCUAGAGAUAGGGCUUUCCCUUCGGGGACAGAGUGACAGGUGGUGCAUGGUUGUCGUCAGCUCGUGUCGUGAGAUGUUGGGUUAAGUCCCGCAACGAGCGCAACCCUUGAUCUUAGUUGCCAGCAUUCAGUUGGGCACUCUAAGGUGACUGCCGGUGACAAACCGGAGGAAGGUGGGGAUGACGUCAAAUCAUCAUGCCCCUUAUGACCUGGGCUACACACGUGCUACAAUGGACAGAACAAAGGGCUGCGAGACCGCAAGGUUUAGCCAAUCCCACAAAUCUGUUCUCAGUUCGGAUCGCAGUCUGCAACUCGACUGCGUGAAGCUGGAAUCGCUAGUAAUCGCGGAUCAGCAU
RNAcentral lists this ribosomal RNA (1319 nucleotides) under Bacillus sp. WB19-21. RNAcentral describes it as "bacterial SSU rRNA". It matches the Rfam family "Bacterial small subunit ribosomal RNA", at positions 52 to 1355 of the family's 1533-position model. The record is from RNAcentral. Lineage: Bacteria; Bacillati; Bacillota; Bacilli; Caryophanales; Bacillaceae.